Molecule: ribosomal RNA, 253 nt
Filed under: uncultured bacterium
Lineage: Bacteria
Description: partial 16S ribosomal RNA
Rfam family: Bacterial small subunit ribosomal RNA
Source: RNAcentral
GACGAACCGUGCGAACGUUAUUCGGAAUCACUGGGCUUAAAGGGCGCGUAGGCGGGCUCGUCAGUCAGGGGUGAAAUCCCACGGCCCAACCGUGGAAGUGCCUCUGAUACUGCGGGCCUCGAGGGGGAUAGGGGCGUGCGGAACUCAGGGUGGAGCGGUGAAAUGCGUAGAUAUCAAGCGGAACACCAGUGGCGAAGGCGAGUCCCUGGACAACUCCUGACACUGAGGCACGAAAGCUAGGGGAGCAAACAGG